GAUGAAGAACGCAGUGAAAUGCGAUAAGUAAUGUGAAUUGCAGAAUUCAGUGAAUCAUCGAAUCUUUGAACGCAUCUUGCGCUCCUUGGUAUUCUGAGGAGCAUGCCUGUUUGAGUGUCAUUAAAUUCUCAACUACACUGACUUUGAAUUGGUGUGGCUUGGAUUUGGGGGGAAAAUUGUUGUGGGCUUUUUGUAUAGUCUGCUCCCCUGAAAUUGAUUAGCGGUACCUUUGUGGAACUGUCUACAGGUGUGAUAAUUAUCUACAUCUUAGACAUCUGCUGGAAUGCUGCUUUCUAAACCUUACUUGUAUUGACAAUCUUGACCUCAAAUCAGGUAGGACUACCCGCUGAACUUAAGCAUAUCAAUAACGGAGGA
Molecule: unclassified non-coding RNA, 375 nt
Filed under: soil metagenome
Description: partial contains 5.8S ribosomal RNA, internal transcribed spacer 2, and large subunit ribosomal RNA
Rfam family: 5.8S ribosomal RNA (bases 1-120)
Source: RNAcentral